RNAcentral lists this microRNA (22 nucleotides) under Heliconius melpomene (postman butterfly). RNAcentral describes it as "hme-miR-6305-5p". The record is from miRBase by way of RNAcentral. Lineage: Eukaryota; Metazoa; Arthropoda; Insecta; Lepidoptera; Nymphalidae.
GUAUGCUAGACUUUUUUACAUA